RNAcentral lists this ribosomal RNA (961 nucleotides) under Myxidium sp. Olo-46-2. RNAcentral describes it as "SSU rRNA". It matches the Rfam family "Eukaryotic small subunit ribosomal RNA", at positions 792 to 1808 of the family's 1831-position model. The record is from RNAcentral. Lineage: Eukaryota; Metazoa; Cnidaria; Myxozoa; Bivalvulida; Myxidiidae.
CGCUUGAAUGUUAUAGCAUGGAACGAAUACUCUGACUCUAGUUUGAUUGGUUUUUUGAACUGGGUCAUGAUUAAAAGGGACAUUUGAGGGCGUUAGUACUUGGUGGCGAGAGGUGAAAUUCUUAGACCCACCAAAGACUCACAAAUGCGAAAGCAUUCGCCAAAAAUGUUUUCAUUAAUCAAGAACGAAAGUUAGAGGUUCGAAGACGAUCAGAUACCGUCCUAGUUCUAUACAGUAAACUAUGCUACCACGAGACUAGUCCGGAAGGCAGUCCAGGUUAGUCUCCCAAGGAAACUGAAAGCUUUCGAGUUCCUGGGGGAGUACGGUCGCAAGACUGAAACUUGAAGGAAUUGACGGAAGGGCACCACCAGGAGUGGAGCCUGCGGCUUAAUUUGACUCAACACGGGACAACUCACCAGGUCCAGACAUUGAAAGGAUCGACAGACUGAUAGAUCUUUCGAGAUCCGAUGAUUGGUGGUGCAUGGCCGUUCUUAGUUGGUGGAGUGAUCUGUCAGGUUUAUUCCGGUAACGAGCGAGACUACGAUCUCUAUUUGAUUGCGGCCCUUUUUAAUAGAGGGCUGGUCAUAGAGAGACCACCGGAGACAAGCCGGGGGAAGCGUAGCAAUAACAGGUCUGUGAUGCCCUUCGAUGUUCUGGGCCGCACGCGCGCUACAAUGGCAGUGACAACAAGUGUCUGCGUUGAGAGACGUGGAAAAUCUUGACAAUCGCUGUCGUGAUUGGGAUUGAGCCUUGUAAUAAUUGCUCAUUAAAGAGGAAUUCCUCGUAAGCGCGAGUCAUCAACUCGUGUUGAAUACGUCUCUGCCCUUUGUACACACCGCCCGUCGCUACUACAGAUUGAAUGUUUGUUCGAGAAGUCGGGAUUGGGGGUCGCGAGACUCCUGAGAGCUACCUCGAGGACAAACGUUUAGAUGAAGUAAAAGUCGUAACAAGGUUUCCGUAG